UGAGUGAGGAUGUUUUGGAAGACUGG
RNAcentral lists this non-coding RNA (26 nucleotides) under Mus musculus (house mouse). RNAcentral also lists the same sequence under 1 other name. The record is from RNAcentral. Lineage: Eukaryota; Metazoa; Chordata; Mammalia; Rodentia; Muridae.